CUAUUUCUUUUAUUUAUUUUAUAUACCAAUGCCCUAGCCCCUUUCACUCUCACGACAUUCACAAACUGUCUCUCUCGCUCUCUUACUCGCCAUAGUCGUAGCUCCAGUGGUAUGAAUCUCUGUCUCUCGGUCUCUCACUUUCUUUAUCAUGCUCUGUUUCUUUGAUCUUCAAUUUCAUUUUCCGACUCAAAAUUUGAUUUUCUAAGUUGAAUUUUCUCGAGAAAGAUGCAGCCUCUACGAGAUUUGAUCGACGAUGAAACAUAAAUUGUUGAGUGAAAUUAGGUUAAUUGUUUGAUCGGGAAAAGAGAAAAAAACAAAGAGAUGAGAAGCACGAACAACAUCGCUCUAGAUACGAUAAGUGCUGCUGUGACUGCGAUUGCGUCAGCUGGGACUCAAGCUUCAGUUCAGUCAUCCUCAUCAUCUUGAAAUCGAGAAGGCAAAGAAGCUGCUGAAAGAAUUUCACCUGAAGAUGGUGGAGAGGGCUAUGCAACAUACAUCUGCAGUUUCAUCAUCUUC
This is a non-coding RNA of Camellia sinensis, 516 nucleotides long. NCBI's taxonomy places the organism in Eukaryota, Viridiplantae, Streptophyta, Magnoliopsida, Ericales, Theaceae. The record is from RefSeq and is a predicted model, not a curated record.